RNAcentral lists this long non-coding RNA (988 nucleotides) under Rhinopithecus bieti (black snub-nosed monkey). Its description in RNAcentral is "lncRNA (ENSRBIG00000046671.1)". Lineage: Eukaryota; Metazoa; Chordata; Mammalia; Primates; Cercopithecidae. The record is from RNAcentral.
CAAGUACUCCUCAGUGAACCCUUGCAUGCUAAUCUCACAGUCUCGGCCGGCUUCCCAGGAGCUGCACCUAAGACCAGGGAGAACUCUGACCUGGAAGACUGAAAAACUUUGUUCUACACCCUGUUUUGUUACUAGCUUGUUGUGUGACCUUAGGCAAGUCCCAGCUUCUCUCUGGGCCUUCAACUGCAAAAUGAGGCGAUUCUACCUGAAAGUUCCUUUCAACUGGGACUGUCCUUGAGUUGGGCUGAAACAGGAGCUCAGGGCAAGUCCACAAGAUCUGGUCUCUCAUGAGUAGGGACCAUGCAUUGCUGCUUGCCUGUGACGAUCUCAGACAAGGAAAUUGAGACUCAAAGAGGACCCCCAUGGAGGAAGUAAUGAAGCUUGAAUUUGGACACAGGCUCAUGUCCCUUUCACUUCCUCAGCCAGCCCAGGAAGUUUACAGCAUGCUCAUGCCACAAACCCUGGAGCUGGAUACCCACUCAAUUGGCUUGAAGACCUUGGAAAUCAGACUCCUCAGAGAGAGCACCAGCUGGCCCCUGGUUCUGGCAGAGAAGCCCUCAGUGACCCCUUUGACUUCUACGGUGGGAGAGCAGGUGAGACUCCACUCCAACCAUAGCUCCUGUUACCCGCUCAGGAGCAAACAAACCAGCCCAGAAGUCACAGGGCCGGAGUGAGGCCUUUUGAAGCACAGUGAGGUGAUGGAGAAGAGGAAUUGGGGCCCUGCGUUUCCCCAUCUUCCUGUUUUCCUAGCUUCAGCACAAAUGGCCUCAGCAGCGUGCUCCCUUCGGGGCCUGCUGGGUGAAUUUGGAAGACCAGACCUCUCACCCAAGCUCUGGUUGUCAUCACAGUGUGUGGCUCUGGAGGGGCCGCUCCCUCUCUAAGCCCUUCUUCCCCAUCUGAGGAAUGGAAGAUCAGCCCCCCAUGGAUUGCUAUGUGCCUUCCAGUUCUUGGAUCCCUUUGGCCCUGCCUUCUUCUCCCUCAUGUUUUC